This 326-nucleotide long non-coding RNA is filed under the name Ananas comosus (pineapple). RNAcentral's name for it is "long non-coding RNA (ACOM_LNC023220)". Lineage: Eukaryota; Viridiplantae; Streptophyta; Magnoliopsida; Poales; Bromeliaceae. The record is from RNAcentral.
UUGAAAUAAGAGAAGAGUUGUAAUAUCCGAGAUUUUGAUCAAUAAAAGGGAUUUUGAAUUUUGAAUUUUUGAAUUCAAAUGUAUAUAUAUAUGGUUAUAAGGUGGAAUGCAAAGAGGGUUGGUUUCGUCGCAAAUCGACGACCAAAUCGGACAAAACGAAACGCUAGAUUCGAUGCCCCAGUCGUGUUGAACGUGCUGGCGCAAUCCGAUCGGAAAUCCGACGGACGGAUCUUCGGAAAUUUCGAAAAGUUCGCCGUGGGGUCGAAAUCGGUAAAACAGAAAAUUUGAGAAAAACCUAAUAUUUUAUGUACUGUUUUGCGUGAUUU